CUCCUUUAAGGAAAAACCACAUUCAACACACAAUUUUGCCUUCAGUUCCAAAUUAAAUCCCUUCUAAACAUCUCUCUAUUACAUCUACCCUUUCAUUUCAAUCUGAAUCCAGCCGUUUUAUGUAUCUAUGAAAGCUCUCCAAACACGACUAAACCCUCGCCACAAUCCACCGCAAAAACAUGUCGUCAGCAGAUUCGUCUUUCUCAAUUCCCGUCUUCCUUUAUUGCUGAUCUUCAUCAUGAUUUAUGUCUCGGCUUCAUACAUCUCCCUCGACAGUCUCCAUCUGGAUUGAUUCAACGUAUUGGAUUGCAUAUAUGUUGGCUUACGAAACUUCUGAAUCUUCUAAAGAAAAAGCUGAGAGUUUCAUUGAAGGGAAAUAAAAAGGACGCCACUGAAUUCUUGGAGGAGAUGAAUGAGAAAGAAGCUACAUAGAUGAAAGAAAUCAUGGGUCUAAAGGGGAAUGGAGUUCUAUGUGUCUACCCUCGGGAAAAGAACAUCAAAAACAUGCUGUCCAUCUCAAAAGAGAAGAAGAAAGAGCACCAACGAGUU
Brassica oleracea var. oleracea is the source of this 549-nucleotide long non-coding RNA. RefSeq lists it as uncharacterized. The transcript has 3 exons. The record is from RefSeq and is a predicted model, not a curated record. Lineage: Eukaryota; Viridiplantae; Streptophyta; Magnoliopsida; Brassicales; Brassicaceae.